RNAcentral lists this ribosomal RNA (205 nucleotides) under Corica soborna. RNAcentral describes it as "partial 16S ribosomal RNA". The record is from RNAcentral. Lineage: Eukaryota; Metazoa; Chordata; Actinopteri; Clupeiformes; Clupeidae.
ACUAAAAAACUAGCUCUAUUAUUUUAUAUAAAAUUUACACUAUAAAUAAUUUUAUAAAAACACAACUAAAAAACUAAACCAUUUGACCACCCCAGUAUAGGCGACAGAAAAGGAAAAAUGAAGCAAUAGCCAUAGUACCGCAAGGGAAAGCUGAAAAAGAAAUGAAACAAUUCAAUCAAGUCAAGAAAAGCAGAGAACUCACCUC